AGUCUAGACAGUGAAAGCUGGUUCAGAAUGGGUCUAAAACGCGUUGGUGGAUUAUUUGGGUAUUAAGCUCAAGAAGCUGUGCAAACAGAACCUGUCAACUUCAGGUUAAUCUGAGAACAGACACGUCCAGGAGCCUUCAUCAAUCAUAUAGUGGACUGUAGGAUGAUAACACUUAAAACACCAUUUCCACUCAACAGCGUGGAAUAAAUUUGUAGUAGAAAUAUAAUCUGUCUUAACUGCAUAUACUUAUACUUUAGAAUUUAAUAUGAAUUAAUAUGAAAUCUUUUUUCUUUGUAAAUACUGAAAUUUAAUAUUUACAUUGUUUUAUGCACAGAUGCAGCAUUGCCCGUAACCAUUUUGUGCUAGCCCUGCAUGUCAUUGAGCAUUUAGUGAAUUUUCUGGGGACAAUAAUGGCUAAGAAUUUUAAACUUCACAUUGUUGUAUCUAUUAUUUUAACAUGCUCACUUGAGAAGCAUUGUGGCUGGUCAAUACCCAAUUGAAUACCCAAUACCCAUAAUUCCUUGAAGUUUAAUCAUUUAAUUGUGGUGUUUGGUCAAAGCAUGGACAAUUAUAAAUAUGUGUGUAUAAGUGGUAUAUUGAAUUAACAGGUCUUUGAGCUCUAAUUAAUAUUUUGAUUGUUUUAUUGUAAAGUUGUUGUUUUUGCA
Molecule: long non-coding RNA, 665 nt
Organism: Labeo rohita (rohu)
Lineage: Eukaryota; Metazoa; Chordata; Actinopteri; Cypriniformes; Cyprinidae
Exons: 2
Source: RefSeq, a predicted model, not a curated record